Molecule: long non-coding RNA, 1558 nt
Organism: Rhinopithecus bieti (black snub-nosed monkey)
Lineage: Eukaryota; Metazoa; Chordata; Mammalia; Primates; Cercopithecidae
Source: Ensembl
CACACACCAGCUCUUAGAGGGGUCUCCCUUCCCUGUAAUGAGGCUGAAGUGGCCUCUGGCCACCAGCCCCUCUCUGAUGCUAUUUCAUCUCGUUCCUGUGGCACCUACCGUGGCCUGAAAUGAUCUUGCUUGUGUAUGUGAUUAUAGUUUUCUAUCUGUUCUCAAGGGCAGAAACCAUUGCUGGUUACGGUCACUGCUCCAUGCCUAGUGCCUGGCACCGAGAAGACCUUUGAUAUCCAUUUGUGGGCAUGACACUCACCCUGUCCCUGAGAGCUGGGCCCAAGGAAGGAGCAGGACCCCCUCCACUUUGUAGUCCAUGCCACAAUUACUCUGCGGCUACUUUGCAUCUGCCCUGUGUGAUCUUGAGUCCCCAGCAACUUUACAGAGCACGAAGAGACAGAGGAAUUGGGGCCUUCUCCAUGCAGGUCUCUGCCCAGCCCAGGGCCAGGAAACCUCAUAUCCCAAGAAACAAGCUACUUGGAAUCACAGCAUGUCUGAUGAAAGGCCCUCCCAAGUCAUUUAGUUCAGGCUCCCAUUUUAUAACUGAGGACGAAGGCCAAGAAAAUGGAAGUGGGUCGCCAGGUGCGGUGGCUCACGCCUGUAAUCCCAGCACUUUUGGGAGGCCGAGGCGGGCGGAUCACGAGGUCAGGAGAUUGAGACCAUCCCAUCCCGGCUCACACAGUGAAACCCUGUCUCUACUAAAAAUACAAAAAACUAGCCAGGCGUGAUGGCGGGCGCCUGUAGUCCCAGCUACUCAGGAGGCUGAGGCAGGAGAAUGGUGUGAACCCGGGAGGUAGGGCUUGCAGUGAGCCGAGAUCGCGCCACUGCACUCCAGCCUGGGUGACAGAGCGAGACUCCAUCUCAAAAAAAAAAAAAAAGAAAAUGGAAGUGGCUUGCCCAGAGGCCCAUAGCGAGAGAGUGACAGCCCUGUCCUCUCUAGCUCCCCACCCUCUCUUGGGAGCUUGGAUCUGCAGGUUGGGCUACUCCAGAGAGAGCCCACAGGGCUGAGCAUCCUGUCGUCCGUCCUUGGGAGCAGGGUGGCCUGCUUGUCUCUUAGCUGGCAUCCCUUCCCUUCCUUCUGGGGUCCUCCAGUCCCCUCCUCCUCAGACACUCCACUCCUAGGCAAGGCCUCAAGGUCACUCAUCUCCUUGCAGUCAAUCUCCCAUCCUUGGCUGCCUCACUUCCUGGGUUUACACUGCACCCUGCCCCCCGCAAGCACUGGCUCCAAUCUUCACUGUUUCUUUACCCACUCCCUAACCCUCCUCACCCCAAAAGCAGCAGAAGGCCCCUGGCUGGGCUGAGCUACACCCACCCACAUUGGGAUGACAUCCUCCAGCUCUUGUCCCUUCUGGGAUAACCAGGGGUUACCCCAUGGAAGAACACACCACAGGGAACUGGUUACCCACCAAGUUUGCAAGGGGGCUCUGGCUCCCACUGAUGGAAAGCUAGGAUGUGGAUAUUAGUGGGGAAGCAGAAUUGUGUUCUAGGUAGAGGACAAACGUGAACACGGACCUGCAUCUGGUUGGAGUGUGUAUGUUGAGGGGUGACUAGGUCCAUG